UACAGAGGGGGCAAGCGUUAUCCGGAUUCACUGGGCUUAAAGGGUGCGUAGGUGGGCUGGUAAGUCAGUGGUGAAAUCUCCGGGCUUAACUCGGAAACUGCCAUUGAUACUAUCAGUCUUGAAUACCGUGGAGGUCAGUAGAAUAUGUCAUGUAGCGGUGAAAUGCUUAGAUAUGACAUAGAAUACCAAUUGCGAAGGCAGCUGGCUACACGAAUAUUGACACUCAGGCACGAAAGCGUGGGGAUCAAACAGG
This 253-nucleotide ribosomal RNA is filed under the name uncultured bacterium. Its description in RNAcentral is "partial 16S ribosomal RNA". It matches the Rfam family "Bacterial small subunit ribosomal RNA", at positions 524 to 776 of the family's 1533-position model. The record is from RNAcentral.